UGAAAUGUCUAAAAAGACAAGUAUUUAGGAACGGAGGGAGUAGGAGAUAAACAGUUCCUCGUCACAGAACAUAACUGGUUUCAGCAUCAAGCAUCAAAAGGCCUCAAUUUUUCAGAUUACAAUUUUGCAUACCCCAUGGAAAACCCACAAAUUCUGCUGUACAAGAAAAAUAGAUCUCUUUCUACAGGAGACCAAGUUGAUAAAACACUUACCAAAGCAGGAGAAGGUGAAGUUGGUGUCGACGCGCGGGAGCACCUGCAAUCGGAACAAAAAGGGGUAUGUUUAAGGAGCUGUUCGGGAAACCUCCAGCUCCACCAAAUCCAAGGAUCCGAGGAGCACCUGUUUCCCCGAUCUAUAAAUCUGAACUGCAGCUCCGGCUGCUCCGGGAGCAGAGUCACGGAGCGGGAGGGAAUCCGAACAGGCCCUAAAUCUGGGUCAAAUUAUUAUAGUAAAACUAUUGACUAAUCUAGGUUGACAAACUGAAAGUAAUCUCGAAAUCAGACCCAUCAAUGAAUAGUUAUAGUUCUCUGAUGUAUUUGGCUGAAAAAGUUAAAAGAAACUGAAUUAGGUAAAUAGUACAUCAUACUGUUCAUAAGUCCAUAUCUGUAUUUUCCUUAUGCUAGACCGGCAACAACUUUCAGAUGCAAACACCCUCUCUGGAAAUCAGCAUUUAACCGAAGUAAAACCGGAUGUAGUGCUCGAUGACAUCAAUAUGUGAACUGUAAUGUCAAAAAGAUCAAAGUGAGGUCUUAUGAGAUUUUUACAUUAGGUUCCACCAAACGGAAAGAAAACAGGAUGUAAACCAAAUUUAGCAUAAGUGCAAGAAAUAUGUGCUAGUGAAUUUUAUCGGGACUGAGUGCACGAUUGGGAAAUACAGCAACAAAAAUCUCCACUCUGUUAUCUAACUACACAAAAUUUUGACUACCUUUAAAAUUUACAUAUAACUAUGCAAAAAAUUGAAUUAUGCUUACCUUUCAAAUAGAUAAUAUAUAUUGCCGUGGAAAAAUAAAGUUGAUAAACACAAUCAGCUUGGUUUCUCCUCGUACACAUUAACACAAACAACUUAUGUGCGGUGAAAGGGGAAGUUCAUCUUUUCUGUACAGCCGCACUUCAAAUAUGGGGGUUUGACCCACAUGAACCAAAGUAGAGAGAGAGAGAGAGAGAGAGAGAGAGAGAGAGAGGCGGCGACGAACGGUGGGCGCAGAGCAUCGAGGGGUGGACCGGUGGAGGCAGCAACGGCCUCGCCGUUUCUCUCAGUCUCUCUCCCGUCGCCUCUCUGACUCUAUGGAAGAAGGGAGGAGCGGGCGCCGUUUCUCUCAGUCUCUCUCCCGUCGCCUCUCUGACUCUACGGAAGAAGGGAGGAGCGGGCGAGGAGCGUCCGCACGCAAGUUGAUUUCCGUACGUUUCUUCUUUCCUAUAGGUAUAGAAAUUUUCGGCG
RNAcentral lists this long non-coding RNA (1438 nucleotides) under Triticum aestivum (bread wheat). RNAcentral describes it as "long non-coding RNA (TAES_LNC021863)". The record is from RNAcentral. Lineage: Eukaryota; Viridiplantae; Streptophyta; Magnoliopsida; Poales; Poaceae.